Molecule: unclassified non-coding RNA, 19 nt
Filed under: synthetic construct
Source: RNAcentral
ACCGUCAGAGGACACGGUU